GUUGAAGACGACGACGUUGAUAGGUCGGGUGUGUAAGCGCAGCGAUGCGUUGAGCUAACCGAUACUAAUGAACCGUGAGGCUUAACCUUACAACGCCGAAG
Molecule: ribosomal RNA, 101 nt
Filed under: Enterobacter cloacae
Lineage: Bacteria; Pseudomonadati; Pseudomonadota; Gammaproteobacteria; Enterobacterales; Enterobacteriaceae
Description: partial 23S ribosomal RNA
Rfam family: Bacterial large subunit ribosomal RNA (bases 1-89)
Source: RNAcentral